Molecule: long non-coding RNA, 736 nt
Organism: Wasmannia auropunctata (little fire ant)
Lineage: Eukaryota; Metazoa; Arthropoda; Insecta; Hymenoptera; Formicidae
Exons: 3
Source: RefSeq, a predicted model, not a curated record
CAACAGGCAUCAGCAGGCACGCACGUGAAAAUCACGGUCGAGGGAACUGUUGUUUUCAUAUAGAAUUUUCGUUCCUUUAUUAAGUGCUUAUGAAAAUUAAGUGUUUUUGUCAUGAUUUACUUCCAUGCAAGUGUCUAAUAAUAUAUUCGGUGAUAUUAUUGAUGUGGUUUAGUUUUAACAACGUUAUACUACUCGUAUACUACCGUGGGGACAAAUGCUUUAAGCGAAAAAAAGCAGAAAAUUUUCAACACGCAUCCAAGAAUAUUUUCUAUCAUAUCAUAUCAAGAAUAUUUUCUUGUUAUAUUUCUCGUCCUGAUCUAUUUUGUCAAACCGCAAAUCUUUUAUAAUUUAGAUUGAAAAAUGAAGGAAGUGAAAGAUUUGUCAAUUGAAGAAUUAGGACAAAAAAUUGAAGAACUUACAGAUAUGGAAACACGAAACAUUUUUAAUGAUGUCUAAAAAUAGAAUUUAAAAAUAAAUAAGAAAAUGGAUUUAAAUUGCUUUUUGUGCCAUAAUUCUGUUAAAGGAGGGUUAGAUAGGUGACACAAUAUUUUCAAAUAAAACAUGGUCUAACAAUUAAACGAGGAUUACAAAAGGGUGGAUUUGAAUGUGGUCAAAAUAAAUGUCGUAGAAGAUUUCGUAAUUUCUUUUCUUUAAGACAGCAUAUACGAAAAAUUCAUUUUCCUCAAAAGAAGAAUGAUAGCAAUUUUUCUACGAAAAGUACAGAUUCUACAAACAA